This 1597-nucleotide long non-coding RNA is filed under the name Triticum aestivum (bread wheat). RNAcentral describes it as "long non-coding RNA (TAES_LNC015461)". Lineage: Eukaryota; Viridiplantae; Streptophyta; Magnoliopsida; Poales; Poaceae. The record is from RNAcentral.
UUUAUUAUUGCCUCUAGAGCAUAUUUCCUUGACUUCGAGUUCUGUCUUUUGGUGUCUGGACACCAGGUAGGCCGCAAUCUGUUCCGUUCAAAUGGGCUUUUUGAUUUGGAAUCUGUCAGGCUAGUGACAGGCUAGCUAGGCAACAAAUAUGGGUCGGUAUACCCCCUAUUAGAAGCCUAAUAGAACAUGUUUAGCCCAUUUGCCUGCUCGUAUUCGUCCGCUUAACCUUGCCGUAUUGUCCUUCACCAGAUAUCUUGGCUCAUCCGCCUCUUUCUCUCUCCCCAAACGUAACGGUGGCGCCGUUACUCUCCAGCGAGAUGUGUUUCCUGAAUGUUGACGACCACAAUUACAUCUUUUUUCGAUCCACCCAUUGUGACCGCGCUUAGAUCUGCCUCAUAUUCAUUGAUUUUAGUUCGUUUACCUAAGCAGCCCUUCUUCUACAGGAUUGUGUUUUCCUACUGGACUUAAUAUUUUGAUUGUGUUUUUUUCUUUUUGCUGCUAAAUCCAUGUGCCUGUUUAGGUUGUUAUUUGUUCAGUUGGCAAAAGUUGUAGUUUCCCCAUCGUUGAUUCAAUUACUCCUAUUGUCCUCAUAUCGCAUAUUUACGAGAGGAUGUGUACUCACAACAAGGGCUUUAACAAAACUUUGGCAAGAGUAUUAAUUUCUAAUUUUUGGACCGGAUUGUGAUCACAGUUGCUACCGAAAACACUUAAAAUAAAAAUUGGCAUGGGUAUGAGGCCUUGAUUCUUACAACUAUAUUUUUGUGAUCGAGAUCAUCACGAUCUUAAUUUGUGCUCUGGAAAACAACCAUUAAGACGUUCUUACAAAGACUCGAAGUGGGGAUUGUGUUCAAAUUACGUCUUGACCGAAACAUGCCCUGCUUCAAGAUUUAGUUGUCCAACCGUAGGCCCCAUCCAUCGCAUGGGUAUACCUCAGUCAUUAAGAUAAAUCGGAUAAAAACAUUGGGUGUUUAAGAACUACACCUCAUCAAUCCCCAGCGAUUAGCUUCAUGCUACCAUACUAAACUUUUCUAUCAUUGAUGUUCAGAAUAGCAAUCCACUCCCUCUCUGCUCCUAACCUCCUCGUGGCUCGAACUCCGUUAUCCUAGAUACCUGCAGGGUCGAGGAAUGCGAGAGAGACAAGAGAUAACUACGAUGCAAUUUUAUUUCACACAUACAUGACGUUCAUUCAAAGUCAUUCCAUCAAGCCCACUUACAAACACAUCGGGUGGCAAGGCUAUGGCUCAACCCAUUGCCUUACCAAACUACGCACAUAUGAUGAUCGGAUCGCACGAAGAAACAAUUGAAGAACACAACAUGAUGCAAGCUUUAUUAAUAAUAUGUCUUACAGUGGUUGCCGGAUGCGAUACACGAUUACAAGAGGUGAAUUGCUGCGAUGGUGAAGAUGAUGGUGGCUAGCUAUGGAGAUGAGAUGGAAAAUGGCGGCAGCCAUGGUUUGUGAAUGGCUUAUGGUGCGGACAUGAGGUUCUGGUGUGCUCUCUUUUGUGAUUCUGGUACCGGCCCCUUUAUAAUAGUUGGAGCGUUGGACACCACGGUGUGGAUAGCGUGCGGUACGGGAUACCGUCUUGCGCUCUUUCAU